GAACAGUGGGAAAUAUAACUGGACAGGCAAAUAUUUAAACAAAAGUACAAAUUUAUUUUUUAAAAAUUAUCUCAAUACUUCAGGAUUUCAACUCUCGUGCUCAUUUUAUUUCCGAUUCAUUACAGGUUCCGAAUAUUAUGGAUCCUCGUGUUAAUCCUAAUUAGAGCCCUCCUAUGAAUCCUGUGUUCCAGAUUUAUUGCACAUCUACCAUUUGCCGGACACCGUGGGACUCUGGAGACUUACUAAUUUAAAAGGGAGUGGAACGCUCUGUCCCAAGGCUGCGCAUGGUCCAGUCAAAAAGACCUGUCGGAAGAAUGGAAGGCAUUUCCUGGCACCUGGGCUGACUUUCCAUCUCUCCCUUCCCUACUGAUAAUGGUAGCUGCCAUGAUGGGGCCAUACCUUGUGUAUAGAUUGCCUGUAAUUCUCAUAAACCUUGCAAAGUAUUACUGUCAUAGAAGUGAAGAGACUGCCAGGUUAAAUUCAGUGCUAAGCAUGUAAAUGUUUACAAGUGGUCAUUGAUUAUUGAAUCUAUACCAUUAAUAAAAUAUUGUGCUAGUAGCUUUACA
This 566-nucleotide long non-coding RNA is filed under the name Felis catus (domestic cat). RNAcentral describes it as "lncRNA (ENSFCAG00000052628.1)". The record is from RNAcentral. Lineage: Eukaryota; Metazoa; Chordata; Mammalia; Carnivora; Felidae.